Molecule: ribosomal RNA, 770 nt
Filed under: uncultured bacterium
Lineage: Bacteria
Description: bacterial SSU rRNA
Rfam family: Bacterial small subunit ribosomal RNA
Source: RNAcentral
ACGCGGGGCAUGCUUUACACAUGCAAGUCGAGCGGCAGCGCGGGGGCACCUGGCGGCGAGCGGCGAACGGGUGAGUAAUGCAUCGGAACGUGUCCCGUAGUGGGGGAUAACCCGGCGAAAGCCGGACUAAUACCGCAUAUGCUCUACGGAGGAAAGCGGGGGAUUCGCAAGAACCUCGCGCUAUGGGAGCGGCGAUGUCCGAUUAGCUUGUUGGUGGGGUAAUGGCUUACCAAGGCGACGAUCGGUAGCUGGUCUGAGAGGAUGAUCAGCCACACUGGGACUGAGACACGGCCAGACUCCUACGGGAGGCAGCAGUGGGGAAUUUUGGACAAUGGGGGCAACCCUGAUCCAGCCAUGCCGCGUGAGUGAAGAAGGCCUUCGGGUUGUAAAGCUCUUUCGGCCGGAACGAAAUCGGGGGCGUGAAUAACGUUUCUGGAUGACGGUACUGGAAGAAGAAGCACCGGCUAACUACGUGCCAGCAGCCGCGGUAAUACGUAGGGUGCGAGCGUUAAUCGGAAUUACUGGGCGUAAAGCGUGCGCAGGCGGUUCUGCAAGUCAGAUGUGAAAUCCCCGGGCUUGACCUGGGAACUGCGUUUUGAAACUACGGAGCUAGAGUGCGGCAGAGGGGGGUGGAAUUCCACGUUGUAGCAGUGAAAUGCGUAGAUAUGUGGAGGAAAAACCGAUGGGAAGGCAGCCCUGGGCAGAAAUUGGAGCUCAGGCACGAAAAGCGUGGGGAGCAAAAGGAUUAGAUACCUGGUAGUCAGCCUAAG